Non-coding RNA from Vicia faba (fava bean), 272 nucleotides. The record is from the annotation of a GenBank genome assembly. NCBI's taxonomy places the organism in Eukaryota, Viridiplantae, Streptophyta, Magnoliopsida, Fabales, Fabaceae.
AUUCACCCUCUCUCUAUACUUCUCCUUCAUUCUUUCAUUCUCCCUCAUACACCUUCUUUCUAACAACAACCACCAAACACCCAUACAAAUGCCGCGACAGGUUAUCUCUAGUUGAAGAUCAACCGCAGAAUUUAAAUCUUCAAGCAAUACAAACCCAGAUAAAACCUGAAUCGUGCAAUACCAAAACCAUAACCCCCAACUUUUCACAGAAAUCAAAUAAAUCAACAACAUCACGGCAAUCAAAGGCUAAGUGCUCGGAUCACCUCACUUGA